GUCCUACGGGUGGCAGCAGUGGGGAAUUUUGGACAAUGGGCGCAAGCCUGAUCCAGCCAUUCCGCGUGGGUGAAGAAGGCCUUCGGGUUGUAAAGCUCUUUCGCAAGGGAAGAAAACUUACAUUCUAAUAAAGUGUGAGGCUGACGGUACCUUGAUAAGAAGCACCGGCUAACUACGUGCCAGCAGCCGCGGUAAUACGUAGGGUGCGAGCGUUAAUCGGAAUUACUGGGCGUAAAGCGUGCGCAGGCGGUUUGGCAAGUCAGAUGUGAAAUCCCCGAGCUCAACUUGGGAACUGCGUUUGAAACUGCCAGACUAGAAUAUGUCAGAGGGGGGUAGAAUUCCACGUGUAGCAGUGAAAUGCGUAGAGAUGUGGAGGAAUACCAAUGGCGAAGGCAGCCCCCUGGGAUAAUAUUGACGCUCAUGCACGAAAGCGUGGGGAGCAAACAGGAUUAGAUACCCGGGUAGUC
RNAcentral lists this ribosomal RNA (467 nucleotides) under uncultured bacterium. RNAcentral's name for it is "bacterial SSU rRNA". It matches the Rfam family "Bacterial small subunit ribosomal RNA", at positions 335 to 795 of the family's 1533-position model. The record is from RNAcentral.